Long non-coding RNA from Populus nigra (black poplar), 471 nucleotides. RefSeq lists it as uncharacterized. The transcript has 2 exons. Lineage: Eukaryota; Viridiplantae; Streptophyta; Magnoliopsida; Malpighiales; Salicaceae. The record is from RefSeq and is a predicted model, not a curated record.
UUAUUUAACUGGUAAAAAAUUAAAUAUAUAUAUUUAUUCAUCAAGCGUCCUCCUUGGAUUUAGAUAUUUGUUAACGAAAUGGAAUAAAUCUCUGAAACAAGAGAGUGGAAGCUGAGAUGGCAUCUAAGCACGCCCUCCGAUCAGGUCAAAGAGCAGUUUCUAGUCUCCACAGAUAACCCCUUUGAUCUUGCACAGUCUCAGCGAUAACCUUUGAUUACGAUGUGAACAGGAAUCGUGUGUGCUGUAGAGAGAUUGGGGCAACAUUCUUCCUCUCCUCUCCCUCCUGAGCUUUUCCUGGAUUUACUGUAAACAUACGCGCCGCUGAUUCAUUUACCUGUAAGAAAAUAUUGUUCCUGUCUGUCUGGUUAAUUUGACUAAACACCAAGGAAAAGAAUGGAAAAGCUUGAGACGGCAAAGAGGCCACCCAGAAAGUUUGAAUUUGUUAGGUAUUCAAGCAGUGGCUAUUAAGCU